AAUGAACGUUGGCGGCGUGGAUUAGGCAUGCAAGUCGAGCGAGAAGUUUACUUCGGUAAAUGGACAGCGGCGAAAGGGACAGUAAUGUGUAGGUACCUACCCCCCGAUCUGGGAUAGCUGCGGGAAACUGCAGGUAAUACCGGAUAAUGUCUUCGGACCAAAGGUGUGAUUCCGUCAGGGGAGGGGCCUGCAUCCUAUUAGCUUGUUGGUGAGGUAAUGGCUCACCAAGGCAACGAUGGGUAGCGGGUGUGAGAGCAUGACCCGCGUCAUUGGGACUGAGACACUGCCCAGACAUCUACGGAUGGCUGCAGUCGAGAAUCUUCGGCAAUGGGCGAAAGCCUGACCGAGCGACGCCGCGUGCGGGACGAAGGCCUUCGGGUUGUAAACCGCUGUCGUUGGGGAGGAAAUGCAAAAGGGUUAUCCCUUCUGUUUGACCGAUCCAAGGAGGAAGUACGGGCUAAGUUCGUGCCAGCAGCCGCGGUAAGACGAACCGUACGAACGUUAUUCGGAAUUACUGGGCUUAAAGGGUGCGUAGGCUGCACGGAAAGUUGGGUGUGAAAGCCCUCAGCUCAACUGAGGAAUUGCAUCCAAAACUGCCGU
This 600-nucleotide ribosomal RNA is filed under the name uncultured bacterium. Its description in RNAcentral is "bacterial SSU rRNA". It matches the Rfam family "Bacterial small subunit ribosomal RNA", at positions 28 to 639 of the family's 1533-position model. The record is from RNAcentral.